UCGAAGUGAGUGAUCCUAUGCUGCCAAGAAAAGCCUCUAGCGAGUUGUAAAGCCGCCCGUACCCCAAACCGAUACAGGUGGUCAGGUAGAGAAUACUAAGGCGAUCGAGAUAACUAUGGUUAAGGAACUCGGCAAAAUGCCCCCGUAACUUCGGAGAAGGGGGGCCCGUUCCGGUGAUUGGAUUUACUUCAUGAGCUGGGAUCGGCCGCAGAGACCAGGCCCAAGCGACUGUUUACUAAAAACACAGGUCUAUGCAAAGUGGCAACACGCCGUAUAUAGACUGACGCCUGCCCGGUGCUGGAACGUUAAGGGGACGAGUUAGCGGAUUUAUCCGCGAAGCCCAGAACUUAAGCGCCAGUAAACGGCGGUGGUAACUAUAACCAUCCUAAGGUAGCGAAAUUCCUUGUCGGGUAAGUUCCGACCUGCACGAAUGGCGUAACGACUUGGGCGCUGUCUCAACCGUAGACUCGGCGAAAUUGCACUACGAGUAAAGAUGCUCGUUACGCGCGGCAGGACGGAAAGACCCCGGGACCUUCACUACAGCUUGGUAUUGGUGGUCGAUUCAAUUUGUGUAGGAUAGGUGGGAGACUUUGAAGCAGGGACGCCAGUUCUUGUGGAGUCAUCGUUGAAAUACCACUCUGAUUGUAUUGGCUGUCUAACCUAGGUCCGUAAUCCGGAUCAGGGACAGUGCCUGAUGGGUAGUUUAACUGGGGCGGUUGCCUCCAAAAAUGUAACGGAGGCGCUCAAAGGUUCCCUCAGCCUGGUUGGCAAUCAGGUGUCGAGUGCAAGUGCACAAGGGAGCUUGACUGUGAGAGUGACGGCUCGAGCAGGGACGAAAGUCGGAACUAGUGAUCCGGCGCUGGCAUGUGGAAGCGGCGUCGCUCAACGGAUAAAAGGUACCCCGGGGAUAACAGGCUGAUCUUGCCCAAGAGUCCAUAUCGACGGCAUGGUUCGGCACCUCGAUGUCGGCUCGUCGCAUCCUGGGGCUGGAGUAGGUCCCAAGGGUUGGGCUGUUCGCCCAUUAAAGCGGCACGCGAGCUGGGUUUAGAACGUCGUGAGACAGUUCGGUCCCUAUCCGCCGCGCGCGUAAGAAUCUUGAGGAGGCCUGUCCCUAGUACGAGAGGACCGGGAUGGACGAACCUCUGGUGUGUGAGUUGUUCUGCCAAGAGCACUGCUCAUUAGCUACGUUCGGGAAAGAUAACCGCUGAAAGCAUCUAAGCGGGAAACUUGCUCCAAGAUUAGGGUUCUCACAGGGUUAACCUGGUAAGGCCCCCAGCAGACCACUGGGUUGAUAGGCCGGAAGUGGAAGUGCGGUAACGCAUGCAGCUGACCGGUACUAAUAGGCCGAGGACUUGCCUC
This 1359-nucleotide ribosomal RNA is filed under the name metagenome. RNAcentral describes it as "bacterial LSU rRNA". It matches the Rfam family "Bacterial large subunit ribosomal RNA", at positions 1585 to 2925 of the family's 2925-position model. The record is from RNAcentral.